RNAcentral lists this unclassified non-coding RNA (253 nucleotides) under uncultured Bacillaceae bacterium. Its description in RNAcentral is "contains 16S-23S intergenic spacer region". It matches the Rfam family "Bacterial small subunit ribosomal RNA", at positions 524 to 776 of the family's 1533-position model. The record is from RNAcentral. Lineage: Bacteria; Bacillati; Bacillota; Bacilli; Caryophanales; Bacillaceae.
UACGUAGGUGGCAAGCGUUGUCCGGAAUUAUUGGGCGUAAAGCGCGCGCAGGCGGUCUUUUAAGUCUGCUGUGAAAGCCCCCGGCUCAACCGGGGAGGGUCAUUGGAACCUGGGAGACAUGAGUACGGAAGAGGCGGGUGGAAUUCCACGUGUAGCGGUGAAAUGCGUAGAUAUGUGGAGGAACACCAGUGGCGAAGGCGACUCUCUGGUCUGUAACUGACGCUGAGGCGCGAAAGCGUGGGGAGCAAACAUG